GACGAACGCUGGCGGCGUGCUUAACACAUGCAAGUCGAACGGAAAGGCCCUGCUUUUGUGGGGUGCCCGAGUGGCGAACGGGUGAGUAACACGUGAGUAACCUGCCCUUGACUUUGGGAUAACUUCAGGAAACUGGGGCUAAUACCGGAUAGGAGCUCCUGUUGCAUGGUGGGGGUUGGAAAGUUUCGGCGGUUGGGGAUGGACUCGCGGCUUAUCAGCUUGUUGGUGGGGUAGUGGCUUACCAAGGCUUUGACGGGUAGCCGGCCUGGGAGGGUGACCGGCCACAUUGGGACUGAGAUACGGCCCAGACUCCUACGGGAGGCAGCAGUGGGGAAUAUUGCACAAUGGGCGGAAGCCUGAUGCAGCAACGCCGCGUGCGGGAUGACGGCCUUCGGGUUGUAAACCGCUUUCGCCUGUGACGAAGCGUGAGUGACGGUAAUGGGUAAAGAAGCACCGGCUAACUACGUG
RNAcentral lists this ribosomal RNA (468 nucleotides) under uncultured bacterium. RNAcentral describes it as "partial 16S ribosomal RNA". It matches the Rfam family "Bacterial small subunit ribosomal RNA", at positions 28 to 507 of the family's 1533-position model. The record is from RNAcentral.